RNAcentral lists this ribosomal RNA (497 nucleotides) under uncultured bacterium. Its description in RNAcentral is "partial 16S ribosomal RNA". It matches the Rfam family "Bacterial small subunit ribosomal RNA", at positions 28 to 507 of the family's 1533-position model. The record is from RNAcentral.
GAUGAACGCUGGCGGCGUGCCUAAUACAUGCAAGUCGAGCGAACAGACGAGGAGCUUGCUCCUCUGACGUUAGCGGCGGACGGGUGAGUAACACGUGGAUAACCUACCUAUAAGACUGGGAUAACUUCGGGAAACCGGAGCUAAUACCGGAUAAUAUAUUGAACCGCAUGGUUCAAUAGUGAAAGACGGCUUUGCUGUCACUUAUAGAUGGAUCCGCGCCGCAUUAGCUAGUUGGUAAGGUAACGGCUUACCAAGGCAACGAUGCGUAGCCGACCUGAGAGGGUGAUAGGCCACACUGGAACUGAGCCACGGUCCAGACUCCUACGGGAGGCAGCAGUAGGGAAUCGGCCGCAAUGGGCGAAAGCCUGACGGAGCAACGCCGCGUGAGUGAUGAAGGUCUUCGGAUCGUAAAACUCUGUUAUUAGGGAAGAACAAAUGUGUAAGUAACUAUGCACGUCUUGACGGUACCUAAUCAGAAAGCCACGGCUAACUACGUG